Molecule: unclassified non-coding RNA, 726 nt
Filed under: Zea mays
Lineage: Eukaryota; Viridiplantae; Streptophyta; Magnoliopsida; Poales; Poaceae
Description: misc RNA Zm00001eb407770
Source: RNAcentral
CAACAGGUGUCUCUUGGCCUCCUCCACGCUACAUUAAAUAACACACGUUUCUUCCUCCUGUUCUCUUCAUACUGCUCUCUUCACAUCGCAAAAAUAUGGCCCCGACGCCUUCUCCAUCUCCAUCGUCGAGCAGUGAGUCAGACCCCAGCUGGUAUUGGCGCAACCCUGCCAGGCGAGCGGCGCGUGAGGCGGCAGCUCUCGCAGCGCGUGAGGCGCGUGCAAGACAGGAGGCAAGCGCGGCUAGCGAGGCAGUAGCGUCUGCGGCGCGUGAGGCAACACCGUCUGCGGCUAGCGAGGCAGCAGUGUCUGCUGCGCAUGAGGUCCGUGCGGCGGCAGCAGGUGAGUCUCGUGCGGCAGCAGGUGAGUCCCGUGCGGCGGCAGCGGCGGCUGCUCGCCGUGCACCAGCCCGGCGUUUCCGGCAGUAUCCCUACAGCAGGCCUUCACGGCAGAGACGAGGUGCAAGGCUUCGCACUCCUUCUGAUGAUGAAGAACCGAUCGUCACAGGAGGCAGUGCAAAAGGAGAAGACAAGAUCGAUGCAGCAAAAAUAAACUGAUGGAGAUUACAUUCGGUGAACUAAAUUCUACUAUCACUAUUCCUAAAUGUUCCAUGUAGCAAGCUUUUGCAUGGCUUCGUAUACCAAUGAUCUUUCACAAUGAACUUGUACCGGUAGUGAUCCUUGUCUUUCAAGUGUUCCCUUCUUCAUGUGAGGAAGAUUAUACUUAUUG